AUUCGAAGAAACUUCUGUUACUAGAAAAUAAAAUUCUGGUAGCAGCUGCAGUAAAUUCUUUCCCUUGCAGAAACAGUGUAAGAGUAUCAUUAAGGAAUGGGGGACAACCAAUCACGGGUCACAGAAUUCAUCCUGGUUGGAUUCCAGCUCAGUGUGGAGAUGGAAGUGCUCCUCUUCUGGAUCUUCUCCCUGUUAUAUCUCUUCAGCCUGCUGGCAAAUGGCAUGAUCUUGGGGCUCAUCUGUCUGGAUCCCAGACUGCGCACCCCCAUGUACUUCUUCCUGUCACACUUGGCCGUCAUUGACAUAUACUAUGCUUCCAGCAAUUUGCUCAACAUGCUGGAAAACCUAGUGAAACACAAAAAAAACUAUCUCGUUCAUCUCUUGCAUUAUGCAGAUGGCUUUGUAUUUGACUUUUGCUGCUGCAGUGUGCAUGAUUUUGGUGGUGAUGUCCUAUGACAGAUUUGUGGCGAUCUGCCAUCCCCUGCAUUACACUGUCAUCAUGAACUGGAGAGUGUGCACAGUACUGGCUAUUACUUCCUGGGCAUGUGGAUUUUCCCUGGCCCUCAUAAAUCUAAUUCUCCUUCUAAGGCUGCCCUUCUGUGGGCCCCAGGAGGUGAACCACUUCUUCGGUGAAAUUCUGUCUGUCCUCAAACUGGCCUGUGCAGACACCUGGAUUAAUGAAAUUUUUGUCUUUGCUGGUGGUGUGUUUGUCUUAGUCGGGCCCCUUUCCUUGAUGCUGAUCUCCUACAUGCGCAUCCUCUUGGCCAUCCUGAAGAUCCAGUCAAAGGAGGGCCGCAAAAAAGCCUUUUCCACCUGCUCCUCCCACCUCUGUGUGGUUGGGCUUUACUUUGGCAUGGCCAUGGUGGUUUACCUGGUCCCAGACAACAGUCAACGACAGAAGCAGCAGAAAAUUCUCACCCUGUUUUACAGCCUUUUCAACCCAUUGCUGAACCCCCUCAUCUACAGCCUGCGGAAUGCUCAAGUGAAGGGUGCCUUAUACAGAGCACUGCAGAAAAAGAGGACCAUGUGAAUGAGGGGAGAAUUUUGGUUCAGUUGAUCUACCUUUAUGAGAUGUGGUUUGCUUGUGCAAUACAACUCAGAAAAAGUCCACAAGAAGAGGCUUCAUUUAAGAAUGAAAAUUAUCUAGAUUUUGGCCCUGAAAAUGGGAACAAAUUUCAUGGGUAUGCCCAUCUUCUUAUAUUAAGUAGCCUUGUUAGGAUACAGAAUAGCUAUGUUAGAAUAUCUAAUUUUUUGUUUAAAAUAAUGACAUAUUUUAAAAAAUCAGAAAUAGGACUACAUGGAGAUAAAAUAAUUAUUAUUUUAUAAUUUCAACUUUUGUUUUAGAUUCAGGGGGUACAUGUGCAGGUUUGUUACAUGGUUAUAUCAUGUGAUGCUGAAAUUUGGUGUGAGAUAGAACCCAUCACCCAGGAAGUGAGUAUACUAUCCAACAGAAAGUUACAUCAACACAUUACUCUUCGCUGAUCAAUCAGGACAUAUGUAACUCCUACCAUUACCUGGUAGCAGCUAAAAACGGUAGAUUAAAAUCAAUAUUAAGAGAAAAAACUUCCAAGAGAAACCAGAACUUUAAUAAACAGUAAUGUAGAGCAAUGUGUUCCUACUUCACUGAUUAUGAGGACAAUGAAAUAAAUGACUGAGAAAUUAUAAAUUCCUUUUGGGAAUAAUUCAGAAAAGUAAACAAGAAAACAUUGUGGAAAACUUCAAUGAGAAGAAAGAAAGAGAGAGAGAGAAAGAAAAAAAGAAAGAGAGAAAGAGAGA
This 1776-nucleotide long non-coding RNA is filed under the name Homo sapiens (human). RNAcentral describes it as "novel transcript". The record is from RNAcentral. Lineage: Eukaryota; Metazoa; Chordata; Mammalia; Primates; Hominidae.